RNAcentral lists this ribosomal RNA (301 nucleotides) under uncultured bacterium. RNAcentral describes it as "partial 16S ribosomal RNA". It matches the Rfam family "Bacterial small subunit ribosomal RNA", at positions 509 to 807 of the family's 1533-position model. The record is from RNAcentral.
CAGCCGCCGCGGGAAUACAGAGGGUGCAAGCGUUAAUCGGAAUUACUGGGCGUAAAGCGCGCGUAGGUGGUUCGCCAAGUUGGAUGUGAAAUCCCCGGGCUCAACCUGGGAACUGCAUCCAAAACUGGCGAGCUAGAGUAUGGUAGAGGGUGGUGGAAUUUUCUGUGUAGCGGUGAAAUGCGUAGAUAUAGGAAGGAACAUCAGUGGCGAAGGCGACCACCUGGACUGAUACUGACACUGAGGUGCGAAAGCGUGGGGAGCAAACAGGAUUAGAUACCCCGGUAGUCCCUGUCUCUUAUAC